RNAcentral lists this ribosomal RNA (353 nucleotides) under uncultured bacterium. RNAcentral describes it as "bacterial SSU rRNA". It matches the Rfam family "Bacterial small subunit ribosomal RNA", at positions 28 to 363 of the family's 1533-position model. The record is from RNAcentral.
GAUGAACGCUGGCGGCGUGCUUAACACAUGCAAGUCGAGCGAAGCGAUUUUGAUGAAGUUUUCGGAUGGAAUUAAGAUUGACUGAGCGGCGGACGGGUGAGUAACGCGUGGGUAACCUGCCUCAUACAGGGGGAUAACAGUUAGAAAUGACUGCUAAUACCGCAUAAGCGCACAGGACCGCAUGGUCUGGUGUGAAAAACUCCGGUGGUAUGAGAUGGACCCGCGUCUGAUUAGCUUGUUGGCGGGGUAACGGCCCACCAAGGCGACGAUGUCUAGGGGUUCUGAGAGGAGGUCCCCCACAUUGGUACUGAGACACGGGACCAAACUCCUACGGGAGGCAGCAGUGAGGAAUA